RNAcentral lists this ribosomal RNA (879 nucleotides) under uncultured archaeon. RNAcentral describes it as "bacterial SSU rRNA". It matches the Rfam family "Archaeal small subunit ribosomal RNA", at positions 1 to 879 of the family's 1478-position model. The record is from RNAcentral.
UCCGGUUGAUCCUGCCAGAGGUUACUGCUAUCGGAGUUCGAGUAAGCCAUGCGAGUCUAAAGGUUUCUUUCGGGAAGCCUUGGCGGACUGCUCAGUAACACGUGGAUAACCUACCCUUAGGACUGGGAUAACCCCGGGAAACUGGGGAUAAUACCGGAUAGAUCAGGGAUGCUGGAAUGCGCCUUGAUCCAAAGCUCCGGCGCCCAAGGAUGGGUCUGCGGCCUAUCAGGUAGUAGUGGGUGUAACGUACCUACUAGCCAACGACGGGUACGGGUUGUGAGAGCAAGAGCCCGGAGAUGGAUUCUGAGACACGAAUCCAGGCCCUACGGGGUGCAGCAGGCGCGAAACCUUUACAAUGUGCGAAAGCAUGAUAAGGGAACUCCGAGUGCCAGUAUCUAAUACUGGCUGUCCUUGUGCCUAAAACGCACAAGAUAGCAAGGGCCGGGUAAGACCGGUGCCAGCCGCCGCGGUAAUACCGGCGGCCCGAGUGGUAGCCGCUAUUAUUGGGUCUAAAGGGUCCGUAGCCGGUUCGAUAAGUCCUCUGGGAAAUCUGGUUGCUUAACAAUCAGACUGCCAAGGGAUACUGUCGAACUUGAGACCGGGAGAGGUAAGAGGUACUUCAGGGGUAGGAGUGAAAUCUUGUAAUCCCUGGGGGACCAUCUGUGGCGAAGGCGUCUUACCAGAACGGGUUCGACGGUGAGGGACGAAAGCUGGGGGCACAAACCGGAUUAGAUACCCGGGUAGUCCCAGCUGUAAACGAUGCUCGCUAGGUGUCAGAUACGGUGCGACCGUGUUUGGUGCCGCAGGGAAGCCGUUAAGCGAGCCACCUGGGAAGUACGGUCGCAAGGCUGAAACUUAAAGGAAUUGGCGGGGGAGCAC